AUUGAACGCUGGCGGCAUGCCUUACACAUGCAAGUCGAACGGCAGCACGGGAGCAAUCCUGGUGGCGAGUGGCGAACGGGUGAGUAAUAUAUCGGAACGUGCCCAGUCGUGGGGGAUAACGUAGCGAAAGCUACGCUAAUACCGCAUACGAUCUAUGGAUGAAAGCGGGGGAUCGCAAGACCUCGCACGAUUGGAGCGGCCGAUAUCAGAUUAGGUAGUUGGUGAGGUAAAGGCUCACCAAGCCGACGAUCUGUAGCUGGUCUGAGAGGACGAACAGCCACACGGGGACUGAGACACGGCCCAGACUCCGACGGGAGGCAGCAGUGGGGAAUUUUGGACAAUGGGCGCAAGCCUGAUCCAGCAAUGCCGCGUGCAGGAUGAAGGCCUUCGGGUUGUAAACUGCUUUUGUACGGAACGAAACGGUGAGCUCUAAUACAGUUUGCUAAUGACGGUACCGUAAGAAUAAGCACCGGCUAACUACGUGCCAGCCGCCGUAACAC
This 500-nucleotide ribosomal RNA is filed under the name uncultured bacterium. Its description in RNAcentral is "partial 16S ribosomal RNA". It matches the Rfam family "Bacterial small subunit ribosomal RNA", at positions 30 to 526 of the family's 1533-position model. The record is from RNAcentral.